Molecule: ribosomal RNA, 468 nt
Filed under: uncultured bacterium
Lineage: Bacteria
Description: partial 16S ribosomal RNA
Rfam family: Bacterial small subunit ribosomal RNA
Source: RNAcentral
GACGAACGCUGGCGGCGUGCUUAACACAUGCAAGUCGAACGGAAAGGCCCUGCUUUUGUGGGGUGCUCGAGUGGCGAACGGGUGAGUAACACGUGAGUAACCUGCCCUUGACUUUGGGAUAACUUCAGGAAACUGGGGCUAAUACCGGAUAGGAGCUCCUGCUGCAUGGUGGGGGUUGGAAAGUUUCGGCGGUUGGGGAUGGACUCGCGGCUUAUCAGCUUGUUGGUGGGGUAGUGGCUUACCAAGGCUUUGACGGGUAGCCGGCCUGAGAGGGUGGCCGGCCACAUUGGGACUGAGAUACGGCCCAGACUUCUACGGGAGGCAGCAGUGGGGAAUAUUGCACAAUGGGCGGAAGCCUGAUGCAGCAACGCCGCGUGCGGGAUGACGGCCUUCGGGUUGUAAACCGCUUUCGCCUGUGACGAAGCGUGAGUGACGGUAAUGGGUAAAGAAGCACCGGCUAACUACGUG